UACGUAGGGUGCGAGCGUUAAUCGGAAUUACUGGGCGUAAAGCGUGCGUAGGCGGUUGGCAAAGUCAGCUGUGAAAUCCCUCGGCUUAACCGGGGAACUGCGUCUGAUACUGGAUGGCUUGAGAUUGGGAGAGGGAUGCGGAAUUCCAGGUGUAGCGGUGAAAUGCGUAGAUAUCUGGAGGAACACCGGUGGCGAAGGCGGCAUCCUGGACCAACACUGACACUGAGGAGCGAAAGCCAGGGGAGCAAACGGG
Molecule: ribosomal RNA, 253 nt
Filed under: uncultured bacterium
Lineage: Bacteria
Description: partial 16S ribosomal RNA
Rfam family: Bacterial small subunit ribosomal RNA
Source: RNAcentral